This 253-nucleotide ribosomal RNA is filed under the name uncultured bacterium. RNAcentral's name for it is "partial 16S ribosomal RNA". It matches the Rfam family "Bacterial small subunit ribosomal RNA", at positions 524 to 776 of the family's 1533-position model. The record is from RNAcentral.
GACGAACCGUGCGAACGUUAUUCGGAAUCACUGGGCUUAAAGGGCGCGUAGGCGGGCCCGUCAGUCAGGGGUGAAAUCCCACGGCCCAACCGUGGAAGUGCCUCUGAUACUGCGGGCCUCGAGGGGGAUAGGGGCGUGCGGAACUCAGGGUGGAGCGGUGAAAUGCGUAGAUAUCGGGAGGAACACCUGUGGCGAAAGCGGCUCACUGGACCACAACUGACGCUGAGGCGCGAAAGCUAGGGGAGCAAACAGG